GCAUAACCAUUCUGCUUGAUCUGGAUAGUCAAGUGGAGACUUUUGGAAAAAGGUGAUCCUUCAGGGGGAAAAAAGAACUUCCAGUGCAAGAUAGAAGUGUGUUUAUUAUCGGAAUUACACAGAACAUCUGCCUCUGUGCCCCAGCCAACUUUGGGAUUUUGAAAAACCAAGUCAAUGCACAGAAAAUGAAAUUCAUCCUUAUUUCCAGGUUGAAUCUCUUUCUGACAAGCUUCCACCCAUUGCUUCUUGUUCUCCCUUCAAGUGCUAUGGAAA
Molecule: long non-coding RNA, 273 nt
Organism: Pantherophis guttatus
Lineage: Eukaryota; Metazoa; Chordata; Lepidosauria; Squamata; Colubridae
Source: RefSeq, a predicted model, not a curated record